UGGGGAAUAUUGGACAAUGGGCGAAAGCCUGAUCCAGCAACGCCGCGUGAGGGAUGACGGCCUUCGGGUUGUAAACCUCUUUCAGCUCCGACGAAGCGCAAGUGACGGUAGGAGCAGAAGAAGCACCGGCCAACUACGUGCCAGCAGCCGCGGUAAUACGUAGGGUGCGAGCGUUGUCCGGAAUUAUUGGGCGUAAAGGGCUCGUAGGCGGUCCAUUGCGUCGGGAGUGAAAAGCUGGGGCUCAACCCCAGUCCUGCUUCCGAUACGGGUGGACUAGAGGUAGGCAGGGGAGAACGGAAUUCCUGGUGUAGCGGUGAAAUGCGCAGAUAUCAGGAGGAACACCGGUGGCGAAGGCGGUUCUCUGGGCCUUACCUGACGCUGAGGAGCGAAAGCGUGGGGAGCAAACA
RNAcentral lists this ribosomal RNA (407 nucleotides) under uncultured Nocardioides sp. RNAcentral describes it as "bacterial SSU rRNA". It matches the Rfam family "Bacterial small subunit ribosomal RNA", at positions 355 to 774 of the family's 1533-position model. Lineage: Bacteria; Bacillati; Actinomycetota; Actinomycetes; Propionibacteriales; Nocardioidaceae. The record is from RNAcentral.